AUCACAUUUAGGUGUGUGGCCUCGUCUGCUUUUAGUGGGGUUAGGUAUUUUUGUUUAUUCGGGCUUGAGGUAAUGUCAAAGUAUUGUUUUUCAAGAAUGUUUAAACAUUCAGACGCACUCACACACACCGCUCUUUAAUAAUCCCUUUAUCUGCCUGAAGCUGAAAUAACUUACUUUCUUGUAAGGAACUGUUAUUGAGAGUUACUUAUUACUAACUAGAUGCAGACAUUGAUUUCAUUAACGAAUAAGUACAGUCCCAAAGAGCUUUUGAUUUUUUUUUUAAUUGCAUAACAUGUAGAGUAUAAACACAAACUGCUUUUUUCAGAACUGUGCUUUUUUAAUUGCUUGAUUUAAAAGGAUUCCUGGAUCAGCAUUUUCUCUCAUUUUUUCUAGUGUAUCUCUGCAACUUCCAAAGCUGGCUGGAGCUAGAUAUGAGAUCUAGAAGUACCAACCUGUGCGGAUGGAUAAGUGGCUAACAGAAAACAGCAGGCUGAAGAGAAGAUCACAUCCACGAAGGUGGAGGCUGCUGUAUCCUGACAAAGACCCUGGUGUAAUACAUGCACCCUAAAGGGUCUCCCAGACCUACCUAUAAGCCGCUCCAGUGGUUGGCCUCCAGCUGUUGCUCCAUCCACAUAACAGCCAGUGACUAUAUGAGAGUGUGCAUGUGCCUGAACUCAAAUGAUUAUCACCUUCAAUUGAACUGAAGCAGACAGCCGGGCAGACUCACAUACAUCAUCGUAGGUACAGGGAAAAGGAAACAGUGACUAUGCACUAGUGGAUUUAACACAUUUUAUUACUGUAUGUUGUAAUAAAAAAAAAAAUGUUUCCUUCUCUGAAUCUGUG
Molecule: long non-coding RNA, 843 nt
Filed under: Numida meleagris (helmeted guineafowl)
Lineage: Eukaryota; Metazoa; Chordata; Aves; Galliformes; Numididae
Description: lncRNA (ENSNMEG00000020659.1)
Source: RNAcentral